Molecule: long non-coding RNA, 212 nt
Filed under: Sorghum bicolor (sorghum)
Lineage: Eukaryota; Viridiplantae; Streptophyta; Magnoliopsida; Poales; Poaceae
Description: long non-coding RNA (SBIC_LNC010226)
Source: RNAcentral
AAUAGUUUUUGUGAGCAUUAAAAUAUAGGAAAAUAAUAAUUUUUGGGAAAUUAAAAUUUAACAUAAGUUUAGAAAUAUGUGGAUGCAUACAUGCUGCAAUAUAUUUUUUUAUGACGUGUGAAUUUAAGAAAAAAAAAGAAAUUUGUUCAAAAUUCAAUUUAUAAAAGCAUUUGAAAAUUGGUUCAAAAAAAGGAAAAGAAACCCUGUUCCCC